UUGAACGCUGGCGGCAUGCUUUACACAUGCAAGUCGAACGGUAACAGGGUGCUUGCACCGCUGACGAGUGGCGAACGGGUGAGUAAUGCAUCGGAAUGUACCGUGCAAUGGGGGAUAGCUCGGCGAAAGCCGGAUUAAUACCGCAUACGCCCUGAGGGGGAAAGUGGGGGACCGAAAGGCCUCACGUUAUACGAGCAGCCGAUGUCUGAUUAGCUAGUUGGUGAGGUAAAGGCUCACCAAGGCGUCGAUCAGUAGCGGGUCUGAGAGGAUGAUCCGCCACACUGGGACUGAGACACGGCCCAGACUCCUACGGGAGGCAGCAGUGGGGAAUUUUGGACAAUGGGCGCAAGCCUGAUCCAGCCAUGCCGCGUGUCUGAAGAAGGCCUUCGGGUUGUAAAGGACUUUUGUCCGGGAGCAAAUCCUAGUGGUUAAUAACCGCUGGGUCUGAGAGUACCGGAAGAAUAAGCACCGGCUAACUACGUG
This 483-nucleotide ribosomal RNA is filed under the name uncultured bacterium. Its description in RNAcentral is "partial 16S ribosomal RNA". It matches the Rfam family "Bacterial small subunit ribosomal RNA", at positions 30 to 507 of the family's 1533-position model. The record is from RNAcentral.